AGUGAACGCUGGCGGUAGGCCUAACACAUGCAAGUCGAACGGCAGCACAGUAAGAGCUUGCUCUUACGGGUGGCGAGUGGCGGACGGGUGAGGAAUACAUCGGAAUCUACUUUUUCGUGGGGGAUAACGUAGGGGAACUUACGCUAAUACCGCAUACGACCUACGGGUGAAAGCAGGGGAUCUUCGGACCUUGCGCGAUUGAAUGAGCCGAUGUCGGAUUAGCUAGUUGGCGGGGUAAAGGCCCACCAAGGCGACGAUCCGUAGCUGGUCUGAGAGGAUGAUCAGCCACACUGGAACUGAGACACGGACCAGACUCCUACGGGAGGCAGCAGUGGGGAAUAUUGGACAAUGGGCGCAAGCCUGAUCCAGCCAUACCGCGUGGGUGAAGAAGGCCUUCGGGUUGUAAAGCCCUUUUGUUGGGAAAGAAAAGCAGCAGGUUAAUACCCCGCUGUUCUGACGGUACCCAAAGAAUAAGCACCGGCUAACUUCGUG
This 492-nucleotide ribosomal RNA is filed under the name uncultured bacterium. RNAcentral describes it as "partial 16S ribosomal RNA". It matches the Rfam family "Bacterial small subunit ribosomal RNA", at positions 29 to 507 of the family's 1533-position model. The record is from RNAcentral.